This 76-nucleotide transfer RNA is filed under the name Arthrobacter woluwensis. RNAcentral's name for it is "tRNA-Arg". It matches the Rfam family "tRNA". From Rfam's summary of the family: Transfer RNA (tRNA) molecules are approximately 80 nucleotides in length. Their secondary structure includes four short double-helical elements and three loops (D, anti-codon, and T loops). Further hydrogen bonds mediate the characteristic L-shaped molecular structure. tRNAs have two regions of fundamental functional importance: the anti-codon, which is responsible for specific mRNA codon recognition, and the 3' end, to which the tRNAs corresponding amino acid is attached (by aminoacyl-tRNA synthetases). tRNAs cope with the degeneracy of the genetic code in two manners: having more than one tRNA (with a specific anti-codon) for a particular amino acid; and 'wobble' base-pairing, i.e. permitting non-standard base-pairing at the 3rd anti-codon position. RNAcentral also lists the same sequence under 1 other name. Lineage: Bacteria; Bacillati; Actinomycetota; Actinomycetes; Micrococcales; Micrococcaceae. The record is from RNAcentral.
GCCCCUGUAGCUCAGUGGAUAGAGCAGCGGCCUUCUAAUCCGACGGUCGGGGGUUCGACUCCCUCCAGGGGCACCA